CCUACGGGUGGCAGCAGUGGGGAAUAUUGCACAAUGGGGGAAACCCUGAUGCAGCGACGCCGCGUGAGUGAAGAAGUAUUUCGGUAUGUAAAGCUCUGUCAGCAGGGAAGCAAAUGACGGUACCUGACCAAGAAGCACCGGCUAACUACGUGCCAGCAGCCGCGGUACUACGUCGGGGGCAAGCGUUAUCCGGAUUUACGGGGUGGAAAGGGAGCGUAGGCGGCAGGGCAAGUCUGGAGUGAAAGGCGGGGGCGCAACCCCCGGAAUGCUCUGGAAACUGGCAGGCUGGAGUGCAGGAGAGGUAAGUGGAAUUCCUGGUGUAGCGGUGAAAUGCGUAGAUAUUAGGAGGAACACCAGUGGCGAAGGCGGCUUACUGGACUGUAACUGACGUUGAGGCUCGAAAGCGUGGGGAGCAAACAGGAUUAGAUACCCUUGUAGUC
This 440-nucleotide ribosomal RNA is filed under the name uncultured bacterium. RNAcentral describes it as "partial 16S ribosomal RNA". It matches the Rfam family "Bacterial small subunit ribosomal RNA", at positions 338 to 795 of the family's 1533-position model. The record is from RNAcentral.